GGGGAUGUAGCUCAGCUGGCUAGAGCGCAGCAUUCGCAUUGCUGAGGUCGUGGGUUCGACUCCCAUCAUCUCCACCA
This 77-nucleotide transfer RNA is filed under the name Candidatus Saccharimonadota bacterium. Its description in RNAcentral is "Candidatus Saccharibacteria bacterium tRNA-Ala". It matches the Rfam family "tRNA". From Rfam's summary of the family: Transfer RNA (tRNA) molecules are approximately 80 nucleotides in length. Their secondary structure includes four short double-helical elements and three loops (D, anti-codon, and T loops). The record is from RNAcentral. Lineage: Bacteria; Candidatus Saccharimonadota.